AGCCUCGGUGGCGUAGUGGCAGCACCACCCGUGGAACGGUGUAGCGCGGGUUCAACUCCCGCCUGGGCUC
This is a non-coding RNA of Parelaphostrongylus tenuis, 70 nucleotides long. The record is from the annotation of a GenBank genome assembly. Lineage: Eukaryota; Metazoa; Nematoda; Chromadorea; Rhabditida; Metastrongylidae.